CGAGCACGCGCGUGUGGCAUAUCAAUAAGCGGAGGAAAAGAAACUAACAAGGAUUCCCUUAGUAACGGCGAGUGAAGCGGGAAGAGCUCAAAUUUGAAAUCUUCAAGGUUCCUACCUUGACGAAUUGUAGUUUAUAGAAGUGUUUUCUGUUAGUGGAGUGGCAAAAGUUCUUUGGAAUAGGACAUCAUAGAGGGUGAGAAUCCCGUAUUUGGUCAUUCCUCCUAGCGUUGUGAUACACUUUCAACGAGUCGGAUUGUUUGGGAAUGCAGUCCAAAAUGGGUGGUAAAUUUCAUCUAAAGCUAAAUAUUGGCGAGAGACCGAUAGCGAACAAGUACCGUGAGGGAAAGAUGAAAAGAACUUUGAAAAGAGAGUUAAACAGUACGUGAAAUUGUCAAAAGGGAAGCGUUUGACACCAGUGUUGUUUUUCCGAAAAUCAAUUACGAAUGUUUUGUUUUUAAGGAGUUAUGACUUCAUCGGCUUGCUCCUUUCUUUAUGAAACUUUCUUAAUGCACUUUUCGGUUAACAAGUCAACAUCAAUUUCUUUUGUUGUAAAAGGGUAUGAGGAAGGUGGCUUUCUUUUCGGAGAAAGUGUUUAUAGCCUUGUGCCUCUGCAAUCGGAGAGAUUGAGGUCUGCAGCGUAGAUCCUUCGGGGUUAGAUACGUUUGUGCUAAGUUAUAGCUUUUCAUAGACAACUUGUUGACUAUGUUUAGUCUUGUAGCUUACUCGCUGACGCUAUUUUACCUACGCUUAGGAUGUUGAUGUGAUACUGCGAGCA
RNAcentral lists this ribosomal RNA (775 nucleotides) under uncultured Neocallimastigales. RNAcentral's name for it is "partial large subunit ribosomal RNA". It matches the Rfam family "Eukaryotic large subunit ribosomal RNA", at positions 19 to 646 of the family's 3401-position model. The record is from RNAcentral. Lineage: Eukaryota; Fungi; Neocallimastigomycota; Neocallimastigomycetes; Neocallimastigales.